RNAcentral lists this non-coding RNA (21 nucleotides) under Caenorhabditis elegans. The record is from RNAcentral. Lineage: Eukaryota; Metazoa; Nematoda; Chromadorea; Rhabditida; Rhabditidae.
UGUUUAGAUUGAGUGGAUGUU